ACAGAGGGUGCAAACGUUGUUCGGAAUUACUGGGCGUAAAGCGCGUGUAGGCGGUUAUGCAAGUCGGGUGUGAAAGCCCGGAGCUCAACUCCGGAAGUGCAUUCGAUACUGCGUAGCUAGAGUACUGGAGAGGAUGGUGGAACUCUCGGUGUAGAGGUGAAAUUCGUAGAUAUCGAGAAGAACACCGGUGGCGAAGGCGGCCAUCUGGACAGAUACUGACGCUGAGACGCGAAAGCGUGGGGAGCAAACAGGA
Molecule: ribosomal RNA, 253 nt
Filed under: uncultured prokaryote
Description: partial 16S ribosomal RNA
Rfam family: Bacterial small subunit ribosomal RNA
Source: RNAcentral